UAAUGAAUCUUCCGCAAUGCACGAAAGUGUGACGGAGCGACACCGAGUGAAGGAUGAAGUUCUUCGGAAUGUAAACUUCUAAAACCUGUUAGAAAGUUCUGAUCGACAGGCUAUAAGUGGCGACUAACUCUGUGCCAGCAGUCGCGGUAAUACAGAGGCCACGAGCGUUAGGCGGAAUCACUGGGCUUAAAGCGUGUGUAGGUGGAUGGGUAAGUACCUUGUGAAAUCCCACGGCUCAACCGUGGAACUGCUUGGUAUACUGCCUGUCUUGAGGUACUCAGGGGCAAGCGGAACAGAUGGUGGAGCGGUGAAAUGCGUAGAUAUCAUCUGGAACGCCAAUGGUGAAGACAGCUUGCUGGGGGUAUUCUGACACUGAGACACGAAAGCCAGGGGAGCAAACG
Molecule: ribosomal RNA, 401 nt
Filed under: uncultured bacterium
Lineage: Bacteria
Description: bacterial SSU rRNA
Rfam family: Bacterial small subunit ribosomal RNA
Source: RNAcentral